This 514-nucleotide ribosomal RNA is filed under the name uncultured bacterium. Its description in RNAcentral is "bacterial SSU rRNA". It matches the Rfam family "Bacterial small subunit ribosomal RNA", at positions 791 to 1302 of the family's 1533-position model. The record is from RNAcentral.
UAGUCCACGCCGUAAACGAUGAGUGCUAAGUGUUAGAGGGUUUCCGCCCUUUAGUGCUGCAGCAAACGCAUUAAGCACUCCGCCUGGGGAGUACGGCCGCAAGGCUGAAACUCAAAGGAAUUGACGGGGGCCCGCACAAGCGGUGGAGCAUGUGGUUUAAUUCGAAGCAACGCGAAGAACCUUACCAGGUCUUGACAUCCUCUGACAACCCUAGAGAUAGGGCGUUCCCCUUCGGGGGACAGAGUGACAGGUGGUGCAUGGUUGUCGUCAGCUCGUGUCGUGAGAUGUUGGGUUAAGUCCCGCAACGAGCGCAACCCUUGAUCUUAGUUGCCAGCAUUCAGUUGGGCACUCUAAGGUGACUGCCGGUGACAAACCGGNGGAAGGUGGGGAUGACGUCAAAUCAUCAUGCCCCUUAUGACCUGGGGCUACACACGUGCUACAAUGGGUGGUACAAAGGGCAGCAAAACCGCGAGGUCGAGCCAAUCCCAUAAAACCACUCUCAGUUCGGAUUGUA